GAUGAACGCUGGCGGUGUGCCUAAUACAUGCAAGUCGAGCGAACGGACGAGAAGCUUGCUUCUCUGAUGUUAGCGGCGAACGGGUGAGUAACGCGUGAGUAACCUACCUUGGAGUGGGGGACAACAGUUGGAAACGACUGCUAAUACCGCAUAAGCUCACGAUCCGGCAUCGGCUUGAGGGAAAAGGGGUUAUUCUCUCUAGGAUGGACUCGCGUCCACUUAGUUAGUUGGUGAGUUAACGGCCCACCAAGGCGACGAUUGAUAGCCGGGCUGAGAGGUAGAGCCGCGACUUUGGCGCUAGGAAACAGUCGAGAAUCCUACGGAAGGGAGGAGUGGGGGAUAUUGCAACGUGGGGGAAGCCAUGAUGGAGCGAGGACGGGUGGAGGAAGAAGGUUGGGGGAUAGUAAACUCCUGUCGUCAGUGACGAUAAUGACGGUACCUAACAAGAAAGCACCGGCUAACUACGUG
This 468-nucleotide ribosomal RNA is filed under the name uncultured bacterium. RNAcentral's name for it is "partial 16S ribosomal RNA". It matches the Rfam family "Bacterial small subunit ribosomal RNA", at positions 28 to 507 of the family's 1533-position model. The record is from RNAcentral.